UGUGUACCAGUAUGGACGGGAAUG
RNAcentral lists this non-coding RNA (24 nucleotides) under Mus musculus (house mouse). Lineage: Eukaryota; Metazoa; Chordata; Mammalia; Rodentia; Muridae. The record is from RNAcentral.